Molecule: ribosomal RNA, 1554 nt
Filed under: Salmonella enterica subsp. enterica serovar Montevideo str. 42N
Lineage: Bacteria; Pseudomonadati; Pseudomonadota; Gammaproteobacteria; Enterobacterales; Enterobacteriaceae
Description: bacterial SSU rRNA
Rfam family: Bacterial small subunit ribosomal RNA
Source: RNAcentral
AAAUUGAAGAGUUUGAUCAUGGCUCAGAUUGAACGCUGGCGGCAGGCCUAACACAUGCAAGUCGAACGGUAACAGGAAGCAGCUUGCUGCUUCGCUGACGAGUGGCGGACGGGUGAGUAAUGUCUGGGAAACUGCCUGAUGGAGGGGGAUAACUACUGGAAACGGUGGCUAAUACCGCAUAACGUCGCAAGACCAAAGAGGGGGACCUUCGGGCCUCUUGCCAUCAGAUGUGCCCAGAUGGGAUUAGCUUGUUGGUGAGGUAACGGCUCACCAAGGCGACGAUCCCUAGCUGGUCUGAGAGGAUGACCAGCCACACUGGAACUGAGACACGGUCCAGACUCCUACGGGAGGCAGCAGUGGGGAAUAUUGCACAAUGGGCGCAAGCCUGAUGCAGCCAUGCCGCGUGUAUGAAGAAGGCCUUCGGGUUGUAAAGUACUUUCAGCGGGGAGGAAGGUGUUGUGGUUAAUAACCGCAGCAAUUGACGUUACCCGCAGAAGAAGCACCGGCUAACUCCGUGCCAGCAGCCGCGGUAAUACGGAGGGUGCAAGCGUUAAUCGGAAUUACUGGGCGUAAAGCGCACGCAGGCGGUCUGUCAAGUCGGAUGUGAAAUCCCCGGGCUCAACCUGGGAACUGCAUUCGAAACUGGCAGGCUUGAGUCUUGUAGAGGGGGGUAGAAUUCCAGGUGUAGCGGUGAAAUGCGUAGAGAUCUGGAGGAAUACCGGUGGCGAAGGCGGCCCCCUGGACAAAGACUGACGCUCAGGUGCGAAAGCGUGGGGAGCAAACAGGAUUAGAUACCCUGGUAGUCAACGACGUAAACGAUGUCUACUUGGAGGUUGUGCCCUUGAGGCGUGGCUUCCGGAGCUAACGCGUUAAGUAGACCGACUGGAGAGUACGGCCGCAAGGUUAAAACUCCAAUGAAAUGACGGGGGCUCGCACACGCGGUGGAGCAUGUGGUUUAAUUAGAUGCGACGCGAAGAACCUUACAUGGUCUUGACGUCCACGGAAGACUUCAGAUAUGGAUUAGUGGCAUCGGCAACCGGGAGACAGGUGCUGCAUGGCUGUCGUCAGCUCGUGUUGUGAAAUGUUGGGUUAAGUCCCGCAACGAGCGCAACCCUUAUCCUUUGUUGCCAGCGGUCCGGCCGGGAACUCAAAGGAGACUGCCAGUGAUAAACUGGAGGAAGGUGGGGAUGACGUCAAGUCAUCAUGGCCCUUACGACCAGGGCUACACACGUGCUACAAUGGCGCAUACAAAGAGAAGCGACCUCGCGAGAGCAAGCGGACCUCAUAAAGUGCGUCGUAGUCCGGAUUGGAGUCUGCAACUCGACUCCAUGAAGUCGGAAUCGCUAGUAAUCGUGGAUCAGAAUGCCACGGUGAAUACGUUCCCGGGCCUUGUACACACCGCCCGUCACACCAUGGGAGUGGGUUGCAAAAGAAGUAGGUAGCUUAACCUUCGGGAGGGCGCUUACCACUUUGUGAUUCAUGACUGGGGUGAAGUCGUAACAAGGUAACCGUAGGGGAACCUGCGGUUGGAUCACCUCCUUACCUUAAAGAAGC